Molecule: ribosomal RNA, 498 nt
Filed under: uncultured bacterium
Lineage: Bacteria
Description: partial 16S ribosomal RNA
Rfam family: Bacterial small subunit ribosomal RNA
Source: RNAcentral
GAUGAACGCUAGCGGCAGGCCUAAUACAUGCAAGUCGAACGGGAUUGAGGAGCUUGCUCCUCAUGAGAGUGGCGCACGGGUGCGUAACACGUAUGUAACCUACCUUAAUCAGGGGAAUAGCCUCUCGAAAGAGAGAUUAACACCGCAUAAAAUCACACUAUGGCAUCAUAGAAUGAUCAAAUAUUUAUAGGAUUAAGAUGGGCAUGCGGAACAUUAGCUAGUUGGUAAGGUAACGGCUUACCAAGGCUACGAUGUUUAGGGGAUCUGAGAGGAUGGCCCCCCACACUGGUACUGAGACACGGACCAGACUCCUACGGGAGGCAGCAGUAAGGAAUAUUGGUCAAUGGGCGGAAGCCUGAACCAGCCAUGCCGCGUGCAGGAAGACGGCCCUACGGGUUGUAAACUGCUUUUGUACCGGAAUAAACCUUUCUACGUGUAGGAAGCUGAAUGUACGGUAAGAAUAAGGAUCGGCUAACUCCGUGCCAGCCGCCGCAGUAA